AUCCAGCUGACGCGUCCCAAAUAGGAUGAAAUGUGCAUCCUUGAU
Molecule: non-coding RNA, 45 nt
Filed under: Trichobilharzia regenti
Lineage: Eukaryota; Metazoa; Platyhelminthes; Trematoda; Strigeidida; Schistosomatidae
Source: RNAcentral